Molecule: long non-coding RNA, 1493 nt
Organism: Bos taurus (domestic cattle)
Lineage: Eukaryota; Metazoa; Chordata; Mammalia; Artiodactyla; Bovidae
Source: Ensembl
GGGGCGGGGGGCCGGGGGCCGGCGGGGGCGGGGGACCGGGGGCCGGCGGGGCGGGCUCCCUCUACAGCGACGUCAGCACCGGCCUGACGUGGCGAUCUGGCACGGCCAGCUCGGUGUCUUAUCCAAAGCAGAUGCCAUUGUCCCAGGUCUGAGCGGAGGGGAGGGUGCGCCUGCGAGGAGGACACUCGAAGGCAGAGGUUUCCACCCCUUCACCGUGUUGAUUGCUAUUAGCAUCAUAAUGAACUCUUAAUGGUAUCCAUUAGCUGGGACUCACUUAGAACAAAGUACCUGGCAUUGAAGGCUCCCAGACCCACCCCCCUUUCCUCUACCGACGGGCGAGGAGUUUCUCCCGCCAGGCGUUCAUUUCUGUUGGCAGGGCAGAGGAGGGUGAGCCCCGCGGCUGCGUUUCCGAGACCCAAGGUUUGGAGCCCUCGCUGGUUGCCAUUUGCUGAGCUUGAAGCCAGACCUACAGAUUUCACCUGAGGGACCUAAGUUUUCUCCCUCGACUCUGCUACGUAAACUCUUACUCCUAACACGUCCUAGAUCUAGGCGGGAUGAGCGCGACCUAACGGGAUCGCACGGUUUGGGUAUUCUUAAUGACCAGGCAAAUGCCUUAAGUAAACAAACAAGAAAUGUCUUAAUUAUACACCCCAAGUAAAUACGGGUUUCUUACAUUAGAGGAUGUAUUUAUAAAUAUAAUUAUUUGUUAAAUUGUAAAAAUGUGUAAAAUAUGUACAUACCCAAAGAUAUACAGUCUGUACAUUUUCUGUAAAAAGUUUAGAGGCCACCCCUGUAAGAACAAAUAUAAGUAUUCUAUUUUGUCAAUAAAAUGACUUUUGAUAAAUGACUUAACCGUCGCCCUCUCCCCCUGCCUCUCCUAGACUGUUACCUUGAACGUGCUUGUGGAGGGCCCCUCCGGAACAGGGACGUUUUCUGGUUUCUCAUUAUGUACACUGACCUUAGGCAUGAAGAAAAAUGACCUGUUAAACUCGAGUUCCUAAGUUGUUAGCAGAGUAAAUAUCACUGUUAAACUGAAAUCAAAAUUGAGGUUUUUGCACCUUUCCGAAAAGAUGGUGUUUUUAAUGAUAGCUGUUUUCUGAUCCAUGGAUACCACUCACCUUAGUCGAUGUAAAUGGAACUUUUGCAAGGCACAAUUCCACUCUGGCCUUGUUAUUUAUCUUGUAUAAUAUCACUAAAGGCUUCAAACCCCACACUCAUUUCUCGAGUCGUCCGUGAUUUUGAAAGCACCUGCUCCUCCAGGACCUAACACACUGCUGAAGGGUAGAGGUUAAUGUUUUCAGCCAUCGAUCACACUGUACAGUGUAAGUCACUCGACAAUCCGGUGGUGGAACAGGCGCUCUUUAAUGGAUUAAACUAACGGGUUAACAUCUUAAUAACCUUCCAGGCUUGUGUAUAUCAAAUGUGCUUCUUUUCCUAGAGAAAAAAGCUAUUGUUCCUCUGUCAAGACUAAGCUAAUUUAUUUGAGCAGAAGG